Molecule: ribosomal RNA, 677 nt
Filed under: uncultured Vibrionaceae bacterium
Lineage: Bacteria; Pseudomonadati; Pseudomonadota; Gammaproteobacteria; Vibrionales; Vibrionaceae
Description: bacterial SSU rRNA
Rfam family: Bacterial small subunit ribosomal RNA
Source: RNAcentral
UAGAGUUUGAUCAUGGCUCAGAUUGAACGCUGGCGGCAGGCCUAACACAUGCAAGUCGAGCGGUAACAGAAAGAAAGCUUGCUUUCUUUGCUGACGAGCGGCGGACGGGUGAGUAAUGCCUGGGAAUAUACCCUGAUGUGGGGGAUAACUAUUGGAAACGAUAGCUAAUACCGCAUAAUCUCUUCGGAGCAAAGAGGGGGACCUUCGGGCCUCUCGCGUCAGGAUUAGCCCAGGUGGGAUUAGCUAGUUGGUGGGGUAAUGGCUCACCGAGGCAACGAUCCCUAGCUGGUCUGAGAGGAUGAUCAGCCACACUGGAACUGAGACACGGUCCAGACUCCUACGGGAGGCAGCAGUGGGGAAUAUUGCACAAUGGGGGAAACCCUGAUGCAGCCAUGCCGCGUGUAUGAAGAAGGCCUUCGGGUUGUAAAGUACUUUCAGUUGUGAGGAAGGCAGUUAAGUUAAUAGCUUUGCUGUUUGACGUUAGCAACAGAAGAAGCACCGGCUAACUCCGUGCCAGCAGCCGCGGUAAUACGGAGGGUGCGAGCGUUUAUCGGAAUUACUGGGCGUAAAGCGCAUGCAGGCGGUCUGUUAAGCAAGAUGUGAAAGCCCGGGGCUCAACCUCGGAACAGCAUUUUGAACUGGCAGACUAGAGUCCUGUAGAGGGGGGUAGAAUUUCA